Molecule: non-coding RNA, 241 nt
Filed under: Hungatella hathewayi
Lineage: Bacteria; Bacillati; Bacillota; Clostridia; Lachnospirales; Lachnospiraceae
Description: Clostridium hathewayi T-box sequence
Rfam family: T-box leader
About the family: Uncharged tRNA acts as the effector for transcription antitermination of genes in the T-box leader family. T-boxes are found upstream of many aminoacyl-tRNA synthetase genes and some amino acid biosynthetic genes usually in Gram-positive bacteria.
Source: RNAcentral
AUAAAUGCAGUGAAGGUGUCAGUAGAACCUUAUUUUCUUCCAGAGAGAGGGAGUCACCGGCUGAAAGCCCCCUUAAGUUCAGAUAAGUGUUUGAAUUUCCCACUGAAGCAGCAUGACAGAAACCGUCCUAUGAAGCGGCGGCGGGUAGGUCAUGACGUUCAUACACGUUACGUAUGCCGAGUGCCUGCGCGUUCUGUGCGGGAAUCAGGGUGGUACCGCGAACUUCAGCUUCGUCCCUAGC